AACGAACGCUGGCGGCAUGCCUAACACAUGCAAGUCGAACGAGACCUUCGGGUCUAGUUGCGCACGGGUGCGUUACGCGUGGGAACCUGCCCUUAGGUUCGGAAUAACUCCCCGAAAGGGGUGCUAAUACCGGAUAAUGUCUUCGGACCAAAGAUUUAUCGCCUUUGGAUGGGCCCGCGUUGGAUUAGCUAGUUGGUAGGGUAAAAGCCUACCAAGGCGACGAUCCAUAGCUGGUCUGAGAGGAUGAUCAGCCACACUGGGACUGAGACACGGCCCAGACUCCUACGGGAGGCAGCAGUGGGGAAUAUUGGACAAUGGGCGAAAGCCUGAUCCAGCAAUGCCGCGUGAGUGAUGAAGGCCUUAGGGUUGUAAAGCUCUUUUACCCGGGAUGAUAAUGACAGUACCGGGAGAAUAAGCUCCGGCUAACUCCGUG
Molecule: ribosomal RNA, 433 nt
Filed under: uncultured bacterium
Lineage: Bacteria
Description: partial 16S ribosomal RNA
Rfam family: Bacterial small subunit ribosomal RNA
Source: RNAcentral